This 1050-nucleotide long non-coding RNA is filed under the name Medicago truncatula (barrel medic). RNAcentral's name for it is "long non-coding RNA (MTRU_LNC005167)". Lineage: Eukaryota; Viridiplantae; Streptophyta; Magnoliopsida; Fabales; Fabaceae. The record is from RNAcentral.
UCGCAUUUUGACAUCAAAAGACCUUAGUCAUGUGGAAUCGAUGAAAAUAAUUCAAACCGAACAUAUAUUUGGUGUAUAAGUCAUCUCACUUUAUACUCAAAGUCUAAUUUUUCAUCCAUCCGGUUUAAGAGUUCUAACUCACAUUUACUUACUAUACCUACACUUUUUCACUCAUGUAGCUCUCUGUUUCUUCAAUCAAAAUAAUGCAGAGAUAUGAGAAUUUUCCAGCUGAAAAAUCCACUAACUUCAGCUCGCAUUUUCAUGCCUUCAACAAGCACAAAGCAAUGACUUGUAUAACCCUCUAAAAAUCAAAAACUAUAUUUCUUAAUAGCUUUUACAUUACAUAUAACUAAGUUAAAAAAUACAAACAAAGAAACAUUAAAAAAUCAAAACACACAAACAUUUCAUUAAAAAAAUUCAAGGAGAGUUCACAUUGACACAAAUCAUAUAUGUAUAUAUAUGAUAAAUGUAAUCACUUAUCAUUUUCUGUGUAACAAAUUACAUAAACCAUCAUAAAAAAAACUACAAACCUCUACCCAUAACACCAUACACAAUUAUUCUUAUAUAUAAUAAUUAAAUUAAAUCUAUAAAACAAGCAAUUAAACAAACACUCUCCACUACUCCUAAAUAGAAAGGACCAAUAUGAAACAAAACAAGAAAAAGGUUGAAACUUUUCAGGCACAAGCUUCUUUUCUGGCUACAUAAACAAACAAGGAAUCAAGAUCAGGUGGUUGGAAGUACCCUUCCUUUGGUGGAGGUCGUCUCAUUCCGACAACCGGCUUCUUCCUCGGCGGCGGUGGUGGACAAAUGAAAACCGCUGGAAUUUGAUUCUGCAACAAUCUUGGUGUUCUACACUCAUCUUCCAUGGCACCAAACUCAACAAAUUCACAAUUCAACUAUAUUUUCAGUAACCCUUUUGCCCCUUCUCUCCAAAAUCACAAUAAAAAUGUGAACUUUACACUUUCAACUUUUCAAGGUUUAGACAUUGAAUUGAAAGUGUUUUUUCAUGAGAAGGGUAUAUAUAAUAAGAAAAAAAUAAAUAACUAAUGU